Non-coding RNA from Pelobates cultripes (western spadefoot toad), 203 nucleotides. The record is from the annotation of a GenBank genome assembly. Lineage: Eukaryota; Metazoa; Chordata; Amphibia; Anura; Pelobatidae.
CCACGACCCCGACACACGGCAGAACCCAAACACCACCAAAACACUCAUCGACCACUACCUGACACAUACCCCGCUGCCGUCCCUGCCAAACGAAGCAGCACAAAAACUAGUAGACCCGAUAACACCAGAAGAACUCGCGGGCACCAUGAAAUCGCUCAAACCAAACAAAAGCCCAGGCCCGGAUGGGUUCACAGGAGUGUACU